This 670-nucleotide ribosomal RNA is filed under the name Bacillus subtilis. RNAcentral describes it as "bacterial SSU rRNA". It matches the Rfam family "Bacterial small subunit ribosomal RNA", at positions 556 to 1226 of the family's 1533-position model. Lineage: Bacteria; Bacillati; Bacillota; Bacilli; Caryophanales; Bacillaceae. The record is from RNAcentral.
GGGCGUAAAGGGCUCGCAGGCGGUUUCUUAAGUCUGAUGUGAAAGCCCCCGGCUCAACCGGGGAGGGUCAUUGGAAACUGGGGAACUUGAGUGCAGAAGAGGAGAGUGGAAUUCCACGUGUAGCGGUGAAAUGCGUAGAGAUGUGGAGGAACACCAGUGGCGAAGGCGACUCUCUGGUCUGUAACUGACGCUGAGGAGCGAAAGCGUGGGGAGCGAACAGGAUUAGAUACCCUGGUAGUCCACGCCGUAAACGAUGAGUGCUAAGUGUUAGGGGGUUUCCGCCCCUUAGUGCUGCAGCUAACGCAUUAAGCACUCCGCCUGGGGAGUACGGUCGCAAGACUGAAACUCAAAGGAAUUGACGGGGGCCCGCACAAGCGGUGGAGCAUGUGGUUUAAUUCGAAGCAACGCGAAGAACCUUACCAGGUCUUGACAUCCUCUGACAAUCCUAGAGAUAGGACGUCCCCUUCGGGGGCAGAGUGACAGGUGGUGCAUGGUUGUCGUCAGCUCGUGUCGUGAGAUGUUGGGUUAAGUCCCGCAACGAGCGCAACCCUUGAUCUUAGUUGCCAGCAUUCAGUUGGGCACUCUAAGGUGACUGCCGGUGACAAACCGGAGGAAGGUGGGGAUGACGUCAAAUCAUCAUGCCCCUUAUGACCUGGGCUACACACGUGCU